Molecule: small RNA, 579 nt
Filed under: Pan troglodytes (chimpanzee)
Lineage: Eukaryota; Metazoa; Chordata; Mammalia; Primates; Hominidae
Description: retained intron
Source: RNAcentral
AAACCCAGGAAAUUUUUCAUACACCAAGUGUUCAUAAUAUGCCAUCUUUCUGACUGGAGUCACCUUUCCUUAGUCAACCCUUCUACUUCAGAGAGAGAACUAUUCAUAGGUCUUUUUUAUCCUCUGGAUUUCCUCACCCAUUUCAUCUCUGAGUUCUAGAAUGCCCUCUUGAGCCCAUAACCAACAAUGUCCUCAUUUUCUUCCCUAUGAACAGAAAUUCCAUCUUCUAAACCAAAACUCAUUGCUCAGCUGGAGCAAGGGGAAGAGCCCUGGAGAGAGGAGAGAAAAUGUCCACUGGACCUCUGUCCAGGGGGAAUGGUUUCAGCUUUUGCCCAUUCAGUAUGAAGUUGGCUGUAGGUUUGUCACAGAUAACUCUUCUUAUUUUGAGCAGAAUCGAAGCCAGAAAUUCAACUUAGUCCCUCCUGCCCUCUGAUUUUCUCCAAUCAGCAAGCUCUCAGCCAACAUGUGUGGCUGAGUCAUCUCUCUCAGCUGUUUUCAAGUUUAUGGGCAGGAAAUCCUCUCCAGCUGGGAAAACACUAUCCAGAAGAUCCGAAACAACAGCAGGAUCCAUUCUGCUUG